UGAGGAAUCUUCCGCAAUGGGCGAAAGCCUGACGGAGCAACGCCGCGUGCAGGAUGACGGCUUUCGGGUUGUAAACUGCUUUUCUGAGGGACGAUUAUGACGGUACUUCAGGAAUAAGGACCGGCUAACUACGUGCCAGCAGCCGCGGUAAUACGUAGGGUUCAAGCGUUAUCCGGAAUCACUGGGCGUAAAGCGUGCGUAGGCGGACGUUUAAGUGCAAUGCGAAAUUCUACGGCUCAACCGUAGAACUGUAUUGCAUACUGAAUGUCUUGAGGACGGCAGAGGCAAGUGGAAUUACAGGUGUAGGAGUGAAAUCCGUAGAGAUCUGUAGGAACACCAAUGGCGAAGGCAGCUUGCUGGGCCGUCCCUGACGCUAAGGCACGAAAGCGUGGGGAGCGAACAG
Molecule: ribosomal RNA, 403 nt
Filed under: uncultured bacterium
Lineage: Bacteria
Description: bacterial SSU rRNA
Rfam family: Bacterial small subunit ribosomal RNA
Source: RNAcentral